Struthio camelus australis is the source of this 871-nucleotide long non-coding RNA. Lineage: Eukaryota; Metazoa; Chordata; Aves; Struthioniformes; Struthionidae. The record is from Ensembl.
GAAAACUUUUCCUUGUAAAAUCAAUUUUCUUUAUAGGUCCCGCAUUUGUGUCCUUAAGCCACACAUAAUUUAUCCUUGUGCUAGACAUAGUAGCAAUUAUUUCCCUAAUAUACUUUUCAGUAAUCUUUUAAGCAUGAAAGAGGAUGGGGAGAGAGAGAACAGUUCUUUUUUAUUGUUUCAAAUUGUAAUAACCAUUAUUAAAUAUUUAGAAAAUGCAAAAUGUUUUUCAACACCAAAUAUGAAAAUGUAAGUAAAUUAUGCAACGUACUUGUCUAGAUAGUUAAAAGAAUGCGAAAUCUUCUGCCAAAAAAUGAAUAUUUUUGCUUGCAUUGAACUAAUAUGCCAACUUAUGGUUACUUACGUUUUACUCCUGUUUGCUACAGGUGAAGUGGGUGAGUAUCAGACAGCUCAUUAUAGAGACAAGCAUGCUGCAUUCCCAAAGUAGGAUGACAGAACAAGUCAUGUUGUCUACUGAAGGAUCUCCUGAAGGGGAGAAGAAAGGAAAUUAAAUUGUAUUUAUAUCCUCUGCUUGUACCCAGACUGUUGGAAAGAAGAAAGGAUGGACAGACUUAAUCUUGUACAGACGGAAAAUGAGAUCCCUGGUGAAGCUUACAAUGUCAUUGACUCUGAAGAAGGACUCAGAGACCCAUUGGUGUUUAAUGACCCUUAUUGGCCUGCACAAAAGAAACUGCUUCUCUUUGGAAUAUGAGAACUAAUCACAGAAUCACAGAAUCACAGUACAGUUGAGGUUGGAAGGGACCUCUGGAGACCAUCUAGUCCAACCUCCCUGCUCAAGCAAGGUCCUCUAGAGCACAUUGCCCAGGAUCACAUCCAGAUGGGUUUUGAGUAUCUCCAGCGAAGGGGACUCCAC